ACGGCCGCAAGGUUAAAACUCAAAUGAAUUGACGGGGGCCCGCACAAGCGGUGGAGCAUGUGGUUUAAUUCGAUGCAACGCGAAGAACCUUACCUGGUCUUGACAUUCACGGAAGUUUUCAGAGAUGAGAAUGUGCCUUCGGGAACCGUGAGACAGGUGCUGCAUGGCUGUCGUCAGCUCGUGUUGUGAAAUGUUGGGUUAAGUCCCGCAACGAGCGCAACCCUUAUCCUUUGUUGCCAGCGGUCCGGCCGGGAACUCAAAGGAGACUGCCAGUGAUAAACUGGAGGAAGGUGGGGAUGACGUCAAGUCAUCAUGGCCCUUACGACCAGGGCUACACACGUGCUACAAUGGCGCAUACAAAGAGAAGCGACCUCGCGAGAGCAAGCGGACCUCAUAAAGUGCGUCGUAGUCCGGAUUGGAGUCUGCAACUCGACUCCAUGAAGUCGGAAUCGCUAGUAAUCGUGGAUCAGAAUGCCACGG
This 480-nucleotide ribosomal RNA is filed under the name Escherichia coli. RNAcentral's name for it is "bacterial SSU rRNA". It matches the Rfam family "Bacterial small subunit ribosomal RNA", at positions 882 to 1362 of the family's 1533-position model. The record is from RNAcentral. Lineage: Bacteria; Pseudomonadati; Pseudomonadota; Gammaproteobacteria; Enterobacterales; Enterobacteriaceae.